Gautieria morchelliformis is the source of this 89-nucleotide non-coding RNA. Lineage: Eukaryota; Fungi; Basidiomycota; Agaricomycetes; Gomphales; Gomphaceae. The record is from the annotation of a GenBank genome assembly.
GCCUUGCUAGCUCAAUCGGUAGAGCGUGAGACUCUUACAGCUGCUAAGUUGUCAUCUCAAGGUUGCGGGUUCGACCCCCGCGUGAGGCU